Salvelinus fontinalis (brook trout) is the source of this 8850-nucleotide long non-coding RNA. RefSeq lists it as uncharacterized. NCBI's taxonomy places the organism in Eukaryota, Metazoa, Chordata, Actinopteri, Salmoniformes, Salmonidae. The transcript is spliced from 2 exons. The record is from RefSeq and is a predicted model, not a curated record.
GGGCAGUGGUCUAGGGCACUGCAUCGCAGUGCUAGCUUCGCCACCAGAGUCUCUGGGUUCGCGCCCAGGCUCUGUCGCAGCCGGCCGCGACCGGGAGGUCCAUGGGGCGACGCACAAUUGGCCUAGCGUCGUCCGGGUUAGGGAGGGUUUGGCUGGUAGGGAUAUCCUUGUCUCAUCGCGCUCCAGCGACUCCUGUGGCGGGCCGGGCGCAGUGCACGCUAACCAAGGGGGCCAGGUGCACGGUGUUUCCUCCGACACAUUGGUGCGGCUGGCUUCCGGGUUGGAGGCGCGCUGUGUUAAGAAGCAGUGCGGCUUGGUUGGGUUGUGCUUCAGAGGACGCAUGGCUUUCGACCUUCGUCUCUCCCGAGCCCGUACGGGAGUUGUAGCGAUGAGACAAGAUAGUAAUUACUAGCGAUUGGAUACCACGAAAAUUGGGGAGAAAAGGGGAUAAAAUAAAAAAUAAAAAAAUGUUUUGUUAUGAAAGCAUGUUACUAUUGAUGUUCCCGAACAGAUUUCAUUUGGUUUCACAAAUUUAGCCCCCUUUCCCUUUUCCACAUUUUUUCCCCGUUACAGCCUUAUUCUAAAAUUGAUUAAAUAUUUUAUUCUCCUCAUCUAUCUAAACCCAAUACCCCAUAAUGAGAAAGUGAAAACAGUUUAUGUGUGUGUAAAUUUACUAAAAAUAAAACACAGAAAUACCUUAUUUACAUAAGUAUAAAUACCCUUUGCUAUGAGAUCCGAAAUUGAGCUCAGGCGCAUCCUGUUUCCAUUCAUCAUCCUUGAGAUGUUUCUACAACUUGUGGUAAAUUCAAUUGAUUGGACAUGAUUUUGAAAAGGCACACACCUGUCUAUAUAAGGUCCCACAGUUGACAGUGCCUGUCAGAGCAAAAACCAAUGCAUGAGGUCGAAGGAAUUGUCUGUAGAGCCCCGAGACAGGAUUCUGUUUCGGCACCCAAAAAAAUGUCUGCAGCAUUGAAGGUCCCCAAGAACACAUCGAUUUUCAGCGGCAGCGACUGUGAGACUAGUCAGGAUCAAGGGAAAGAUGAACGGAGCAAAGUACAGAGAGAUCCUUGAUGAAAACCUGCUCUAGAGAGCUCAGGACCUCAGACUGGGAGCGAAGGUUCACCUUCCAACAGAACAACGACCCCAAGCACACAGCCAAGACAAUGCAGAAGUGGCUUCAGGACAAGUCUCUGAAUGUCCUUGAGUGGCCCAGCCAGAGUCCGGACUUGAACCCGAUCGAACAUUUCUGGAGAGACCUGAAAAAGGCUGUGCUGCGACGCUCCCCAUCCAACCUGACAGAGCUUGAGAGGAUCUGCAGAGAAGAAUGGGAAAAACUCCCCAAAUACAGAUGUACCAACCUUGGAGUGUCAUACCCAAGAAGACUCGAGGCUGUAAUCACUGCCAAAGGUGCUUCAACAAAGUACUGAGUAAAGGGUCUGAAUACUUACGCAAAUGUAAUAUUUCAGUUGAUUAUUUGUUUUAUUUGCAAAAAUUCCCCAAAACCUGUUUUUGCUUUGUCAUUAUGGGGUAUUGUAUGUAGAUUGAUUAGGUAAAAAAAUUAUUGAAACCAUUUUAGAAUAAGGCAGUAACUUAAGUCAAGGGGUCUGAAUACUUUUCAAAUGCACUGUAGUUGCAUCAUGCAGGCCAUAUAUGUUUUGAUUUCUAAGACAUUCUAAGGUUUGUAUCAUUCACAACUAAAGUUGCCAAAUCACUAGAUUUAAAGUUUAUAGAAUCUAUUUCUAAUUAUGACUUUAUGCUCAACAUAGCCACUUCAUAUGCACACUCGCUCGGGAAUGGGAAAAAUAUCAUUUCUAUUCAAUUGUAUUCUUAUCUGUGUAUUCGUGGAUGCCAAGGGAAGCCAAGCUUCCCCCAAAAAUGUACCAAUAAAUUAGCUUUUGUCUCUCUGUGUUCCAUAAUUUCCCAUCAAUUCACAAGAGGCUGAAUGUAUCUCACAGGAAAAAGGAUCCGAGCGAGCGAAAUAGCGCCCCUCUGUCUCUCUACUUGUAGACCAUCUAUCUGAUGCUGUCUGGUCCAAAUGAGUAUGACAUUGUUGCCAACCGUAGCAUUGAAGGCAAGGGAAGCCAGCGAGUGUCCUAUCAAAUCCCAUUGAGAGCAUACGUCAUUGACAGAAAAACGUGAAUUGUUGUAUCUCUUGAUGUUGUUGUCCUCCGGAGGCUAGCUAACCAGCUAGCUAAAAUGGGCCCUUCCCUAAAUUAUUCAUGGAGGAGAUAGGGAUUUGGACUUGUGGUUUUACUUAAACCUCCAUACUGGCCAAUGAUUAAAACGACGAUUCUGGUGCAACCAUACAUUGUGCCACUGGCCUGAGAAGAUGAAAGUUUGAUAUGCAUCUAGAUGUAGAAGGCUAAUGUUAACUAGCUAACGUUGCCCGUGAAUGGAAGUUAGGCUAGUGAGCAAGCAUUUUAGGCAGGUAACCUAGGACAACAACAAAUUAAAGUGUGCACUGUAUGACAAGAGUGAGCAUGAAAGAGAGGAUGGCAUUUGUGUUUCUCUACAAGUAAGGUGAGUCAACAUGUUUUUCUACUUGCAUGAACGUGCACACAUACGCAGAGAAAUCAGAACCAUGGACAGCCACAUCAUAUUUAGCUUACAUUGAUUGGACUACAUUGUUUUUGGUAUCUUUUAGUUGUCACUGUAUUAGACUAAGCCGAGGUUCUACAUCAAUAGUUGUUUAGUAGUCCGAAAAUGUUGGAAACAUUAACUUGCUUGACCAUGCUGUAGGUCAUGUAACUGUCUUACUGUACAUGCAAUAUGCUUUGUGGACUUCACUGGACAGGGGUUGCUAUCCAGUUUUGUUAUAAAACAAAGGUGUGGUUAAAUUUCUACCACUGUGUCUUCUUAUUGUCUCUGCCUUUAGGUCUAUAUUUCAUGGUCGCAGGGCAUAUGAAUUAACAGGUUAUAGAGUAAACAACACAAUUAUCACAACACAUGGGUUGUAAUAUGGAGAGGCUUGGCUUCCCCAGUACCCAUGCACCAGUACGGAUUCUUCUUACUAGAAAAUCAUAGAAUAGAAAAUAAUGGAAUGGGAUUGAUAAGCAUCUCUUCUCUGCUGAAUGAACUAUAUAAUGGAUGUGUUGUGAUGGUGUAUAUUAAAUGGAUUUAUUAGACUUUUUAAAAUGUAGAUGUUCUAAAGGCGCAUAUCAUAAAUGGGCUCCUGAGUGGCGCAGCUGUCUAAGGCACUGCAUCUCAGUGCAAGAGGUGUCACUACAGUCCCUGGUUCGAAUCCAGGCUGUAUCACAUCUGGACGUGAUUGGGAGUCCCAUAGGGCGGAGCACAAUUGACCCAGCAUCGUCAUGGUUUGGCAGGUGUAGGCCAAUAUUGUAAAUAAGAAUUUGUUCUUAACUGAUUUGCCUAGUUAAAUAAAAAAAUUUUAAUUUUUUUUUAAUCAAACAUCAGCAGCUUAUAUGAGUGGAGGCACGGAGAUGCUAAACAUGUUUGUUAAUUAUCAGUCAAUUACUGUGAGACCGGCAGUCAUUUGCAUUACCGGCCACAGCCCUAGAAUCAACCCAGACUAAAUGUUCCAAGUCAUUCUGGACAUCUACCUCCUUCUAGGAACUACAGUCUCAGUGGGAUAUGGAGGAAGAAAGUCUAUCCUUCUACUGCCUUUGCUUCAGAUGGUGCUGUCCUGUUUGUGAGACUCAAACAGCUGUGCACUUUGUGGUUCCCGCAACACAUGUCCAUAUCUGAUCCCUCUUUAAAGCUGCUCCCUUGUCUGUGAAUGGGAUGGAUAAAUACUGUGUCCAUCUAAUUCUGACAUUGGCAGUAGGCAAGUGCCAACUACCCAACCUGCCCUCAAUGGGCCUGACACUGAGAGGUGAAUCUUAGACAAGCCCUUUAGACUUUGGACCAAUAUAUCACAGGACUUCACACUUAUUCAAACCAUAAAGUAAUAGCAAGAGCAAUGACACAACAAGAGAGUGCAUUGUCUUGGCAGAAGCAGCGAAUGUGACACACGCUUGAGCGGAAUACAGUUGGACAGACACUUCAAACCAUAAAGAAAAAUAGAAAGUCACAAGUUUGUUGUUGUUGUUGGUUGUUACAGUAGGCAGUCAUUGCCUAGUACUGAAGCAACCGGGUGAAAACAGGAAGCGAUGACGGAAGCCUAUAAAGAAAUGUUUGUUUUAUCGGGUUAGUGGCACCAUAGACUUCCAAAUUUGCAUCCCAAUGGUGAAACUCUCCGAACACUAAGACAGUUGUCUUUUUUAAAAGGGGAUUGGAUGAGAGAAGAGAAGGGGGGGGAUCACAAUGAAGACUUGCUUCGGACCCAAACAAUCCUUGCCUUUGUCCUGCUAGAAAAUGCUUAACUGUGCUCCGGCCCAGCACCCAGCAUACCAAUUAGUGAAGCUUUGACUCACUAUCAGACAAGCCCGAGACUCAAAAGGUCACUGUCUGGGCCGUUUACAGACACAUCGGGGUCCCAAGUCUAGGACUACAUCCCAAAUUGCACCCUAUUCCCUACAUUGUGCAUUACUUUUGACCAGAGCCUUACGGGCCGUGGUAAAAGUAGUUUACUAUAUAGGGAAUAAGGUACCAUUUGGAACACAAGCUAGAGCCUGCCAGACACACAUCCUUCCUUUCCCAAUCCCCAGCCACAAACUCUCACAUUGAGACACAUUAAAUAAACACACCCCCUCUUUCAACCUACAACAUACUGCUCUGUAGAGACUUCCUCUUUCCUUUAAGGCACUAUUUUUUCAUUGAGCUGGCUAGUCUUGUACAGUGUCGUUUUUUGACAGCCUACUGUACAUCAUUCAUGAAGAGCAAAGGGAGUGAGUGGAGAGCAUCGGGAUACAGUGUACAUCAGUGUGGUGUCCUGUCCUCAGCAUGACUGUUUACCUUAGCUCAUACUGAAUCUACACUCUGUGUCCUGAGGGGGAAGAGGCAUUAAUGUGCCCUCUUCAUGACAGUGCUGGUGUGUGUGGACCAUGAUAGAUCCUUAGUGAUGUGGACACGAGGACUUGAAGCUCUCAAUCCAAUCCACCAUAGCCCCGACGAUGUGAAUGGGGGCAUACUCGGCCCUCCAUUUCCUGUGGUCUAUGUUUUUCUGACGUUGAGGGAGAGGUUGUUGUCCUGGCACCAUGUAAACUUACUGUUGUUUAGCAGGGUAUGAAAAACAAACCAACAAAUGACCAACAGUAGGCUAUAUCUAUGAACUAACAUGUACCUCCUUGCUCCGGCAGUUACGUCGUUGUAGGUAGAAUCAUUACACUGACUUAAUCCAGUCAGGAUGAUCAGGUUUUCCCUAUUAAUAGAACUGACUCUCCCUUGUCCUGUCUCCUGGGUCACAUCAUGACCUGUCUGAUCUGUUAAGUCACUUUCACCAGGGUACACACUUGUACACAAACAUAAAACAGUCCUUAUUUACACAGUUGUGCUGCCAGGAAGCCUGAAUCAUUAAGAUGCUUUCAAAGUAUCUUUCAGUUCUCCACUUCAUCUAGCACAGCAAGGACACACUCUACAAGCAGGAAGAUACAAACAUGGAUGAGGAUCUACAAUGCGCCUAGGUGUCAUAACAACAUUUGGUCAGUUGAACAGCACCAUGUUACUACCUUGACAUUAGUUCUCCUGUCACCUCCCUAGUGUUGUACAAAAGGCUUUGUUGUGUUUUGUUGCUAUUACUUAGUCCUGACUUCCUCCUCAGCGCUCUUGAAAGGCUGGUAUUCCCAUGGCACUUUCACUUCCUGUCUAUCAGCCAGUGAAGUUCUGGGUUCAGGUCUGGGGAGCGUGCCCAGAAGAGACCGCUCGAGUAGGAAGUGGGAAGAGAGAGAAACAAGAGGCAAGGAGUGUCUUGGUUGCAACAACACAUUUCAACAUUACACCACUCAACCUUUGGUUCCGGUUCUCUGUCAUGUACACGGAAGAGAAGUCAUUAAGCCAUAAAGCCGUUGGUAAUGUCAACAUUACCUCUUUAGGAGUAUGACACAAGUAGGGCUGUGACGGUCAUGGACUUUUGGCUGAUUGUAAUUGGCCAGCCAAAUGUCUGCUGUCUCCGUAAUAACCGUUCAAAUAGAAAAUAUAUACAUUAAAAGAGGCUCAUUUUCUAAUUUCCUGCAUGUGCUGCCAUAGAAAUAGAAUGAAUAGAACGGGCAUCCCGAAUAAUAGUGAAGACAUCACAACUAUGAAAUAACAAUAUGGAAUCAUGUAGUAAGCAAACAUUUUUGUUGUUAUACAUGUAUAUAUAUAUAUUUUAGAUUUUAGAUUCUUCAAAGUAGCCACCCUUUGCCUUGACAGCUUUACACACUCUUGACAUUCUCUCAACCAGCUCCACUGGUCUCAUUGGUCAUUGUUCCAAUAUUUGUAUGUGGAUAGGAGAUGAUACGUGUGCAAGUACAGUUGCCAUGUGUGACUGCCUGUCUGCAUAUGAAUGUACUCUGGGCUCAGUCACUUAAGUGAAAUAUUUCCCCUGAGAUUGGGCGAUGAUUAAUGGACUUGGUGAUAGCCAGCCAGCCAGCCAGUAGAUGUUAGACCAGAUGGGAAAGCAGAGUUUCUUUUAGAGAAGUUUGUCAAGUAAAGUCUAACAUAGCAUACUAGACACACUAAGCACAUCAGCUAAGGUACAUUAACCUUACAGUACCUUAGCAUUGACAUUAGCAUUAAUAUUAAUAAUAAGAUUAUUACAAACAAAAAAAAGAAUUUCCCUCAAGGGAGUAUGAACUAUUGCUCAUUGUCAAUUUCUAUUAAACCGGUGCGAUGUUAGCCUAUUUACCAGCCUCUCUCUGCUGUGGGGUGAUAGAGACAGAUAUGAAUGUGCCCCUCAUAGAUGCAACAUGCUCUUUGAUUGGUGCUAGUUAUACCAGAUAAGACCUGUCGUUGUGGUGUGGGAGUGGGGCAGCUGUGUGGCUCCAGUCACUCCCUCAUUAACGAUGAGGGCCAGACCAGCUGUAUGACACAAAUCCACUGGAAGACAAGAGAAGAAAGAGAAGGAAGAAAAUAACCUAUCUCUCAGAGACAAAGAGAGGGAGAGGGGUGAGGCCCCUCCGUGCUGCGACGAGAUCGGCUUCACGUCCCCAGGGAGCUCCACCUGCCACCUGGCCAGCCCUCACCCCUUACCCCGCCCCUCUUGGUCCCCCUUUGUGUCCCCUCUAUGGUGACAGAAGAUCCGGUCACAUUUGUGUGUUUUCAUCUUUCCUUUCUGACUGUGUGUUUUCAACUUGGAGGAGGCGCCUCCCUCACUUCUGACUUGGUACCAUCUGCAUCAACAGAACAAAGGAUGGAUGAUGAAGAAUAGAUCAAAGCUAAUGGUGUCAAAAACACUUCCUUCAUUUUCAUAAUCUGCCUGUUUUUAACUAAACUGACUAUCCAAGUGUUAAAUUGUUAAAUGGAUCAAAUGUCUGCCCGGAUUACAAUGAGUGUCCCCCCCCUGUUAAUGCACACAUACUGUACCAGGCAUUUCAUCCAUACACUUGGCAUGAGGACAUGGCUGAGUGCAGAUGUAUUGCCACCCACUCAAAGGGGGGUUAACACCCUUCCAGACGCAGUCACACUGGGCAGGGUAAAGGAAGGCCAAGUAGCGCCCUAAUCCUCACACUGGCUUGGCCAGCCUUUUUGUUUGGUUUCCAUUAUUAUUGAUAUGUCCCCAUCUCUGAGUGCCAUCUGGGGGCUUUGUGUGCCCUGCGGCCAGCUUUGUUACCAGGAGAAGCUCUGUUACAAUGGGGAAGGGGGCCUGGUUGAGAGGAGUAGGGAGCAGUGGAGACCCUUCAGCUCCUAAAGGGGGCUGUGCCCUGCCCUCUCUCUUUCCCCUCUGGGACUCCAUACCCCGGUCGCUAGUGAUGCGCGCGUUGACUCAUAACCCGCAGUCCCCGUGGUUAUAUACCUGAGCUGGUUGAAUAAAGAGAAAAUAAUACCUUUAAAAAAUCUAUACAAAUUUGACAGUUACAAAAUGGGGACUUCAAAUAGGCCUAUGGCACGUAAAGGGAACUAUAGUCUAUUGUUCAAAUGGGUUAAAGGGAAACUGAAAUCUGGACACGGAGUAUACCCUCUCACAUAGCCUUAAUAUUAACUCCUACAGAAUUCAGCAUUUCUUGCAGUAAAAUGAAGGCUACAUUUUGACUCAGGAAUAGGAGUGGCGGAAUAUGAUUUCUUUCUUUCAGCCUCUUGAGAGAAUGUGAAUGUGCAAUUAGAUACCGUCUGUAGAGGUGCUGUCUUUAUCAGCAUCAUAAAACCUGAUAGUAUUUCAACUAGAUAAAAUAUGCAUCCAAGCCAAACUUAAAUCUUAUCAGAAAUAUGUUGGGUCGUUUUCAGAGCUUUCCAUUUCCUUACAACCGGUCAAACUGAUGUCAUUUGGAAAUGUAGCACAGAAAAUCUUAUUAUUUUAUUAUUUCAUUUUCUCCCUUGUCGUCUAAACGUCUUUGCGCCGUGAAUGAAGCAGAGAUGACAGAGAACUUUCCAGAUGUAAACUAGACUGAAGCAUUCAUUCUAUCGAUUUACUGUCACGAAUCCCGCUUCCUGAGUCUGUGUUUGUCUGUGUUUCUGUCCUGGAGUGUGUUUCCGGUGUCCUGGAACGCACCCUGUCUGGUUGCCGGGCGAAUUAGCUUGUUGGGAGAUUGAUGUUCACCCGCACCUGUAUCCCAUCAGUAAUCUGCACACCUGUCCUGAUCAUCACCUCUCCCCUUCAAAAGCUCUGACCUGACAUCCAUUCCCUGCCGGAUCGUUAGCCAUGAACAUUACUCACCCGGAUCAUUUACCCCAUGCCCGCCUGGUCGACGGAGGAUUCCGCUACCCCAUUGGAUUCACCUAUUUACUCCCAUCAACUCACCACCGCUCCCCGCUACGCCAUCUGGAUAUAUCUACCCAUUCACAUUUCCUUGUAAAUAAAUACUCACCUUCUUCCUA